Molecule: long non-coding RNA, 4702 nt
Organism: Populus trichocarpa (black cottonwood)
Lineage: Eukaryota; Viridiplantae; Streptophyta; Magnoliopsida; Malpighiales; Salicaceae
Exons: 3
Source: RefSeq, a predicted model, not a curated record
CCUUACAGCUUUUUCUGCCUUAUGAGUUAUGAGUUCAGCUCCAGUAUUCCCAGAUCUACCCUUCAUGGAUUUCCCUUCGAUCUUUUGGAUUCCAGGUCCACCUAGAUCGCUCUGCGAUCUUUAUCCUGAUAUUAGACUUGAUAAUCGAAGUUCAACACCGUGAUUUCACGGUCUGUUAUCUUAUUUGAUCGGAGAUCGCUCCUGAGAUACGGCGGAGCUCUGUUUCAAAAGCUCUAAUUCUCGAAGGAUAUAUCCAGUUGGUGUAUGAGCAGCAGAUGAUUCGAGAUUUCAUUUGAAGGCGGGGGCGAUAGAGCAAUUACAGAAUCUCUGUUGCUUGAUGAUGUGACCGUGGGCUGUGAUGUUGUUGAUUGAUUAAGGAGCGAUGGAAGGAGAUAGGGGGUGGAGCUGUGUGGUUUAUUUACGAGGAUGAUGUAUAAGAUAUAUAUACCGGGACUAAAAGGCCAGGAGGCUGAGAGGUCUUGUUUAUUAUCUUUGUCAUCCGACCUUUGCCAUGACAGGUGCGCUUGCAUGGCAGGUCACCCAUCAUCUUAAUAAAAUUAUUAUUUUCGUGUUUUUGAGGGGAGAUCGCACGGGGAAUUGCCCGGGUUCUCUCCUCAGCUGUCUGUGUUCUGCUUUCUCUUACUUCUCUUUGCCUUACGAUCCUAGCCUGAGAUCACGCGGCCCUUUCACGAGGAACUCCAACUCCAGCUUAGCUACCAGUUCAUCAAUUGCACAAUAUUGCAAUUUGUGAGGCUGACUCGAAAGGUAUUCUCUCACUUAUAUCUCCAAUGCGAAUUUCCUUAAUUUUUAGUAUCAAUCAAUCAGUCAUACUUACAUAACUUAGAAUCAGUCAUUUGCAAGAGAUCAUGAUUGUGACUUGGGUUAUUCGUUGCUUACCGGUAUUUGUUCCAAUCCAAUGUUAAUGUAGAUAAUAUGGGAUCACUAAGAGAUUGCGCAUCUAAAACUAGUUUCAGCUUUGGAAAUUAGCAGUUCUUGAAAAAAAACGCCACACACAACACACAUCCUGGAAAUUGAUUUUAAUCUUUUAUCGUGAUAACUCUAGUCUCCGAUCAGGAGUUUUUGCUUGCACCAAGCGUCUGUUCAUUCUAACGUCCCACUAUAACUAUUCAUCAUUCUUUCCCGACAGUGCAGGUUCAUUUCAUUUUCAAAUGCCUUGAAAUGCAAAUCAUAUUAUAUUUAUAUCCACUGAAGCAGUCAGAUUUGCCAUUACAGAGCUAACCUGGGCUUGAGUUUUAUUACUAGAUCUAGUUUCUCAAUUUCUAGCUCUUAUGAUACUCUGAAAUCCCAAUUCCUUUCGUAAUCAGGUCCUUUUUACAACCAUAAUUGUAGUUGCAAUUAUGUAUUCGAGAAUAUUGUGCUCUUGAUAUCCAUGUAAAACCUGUGCUCAUGGAUGAUGCUGGUGUUUUGUACUGUGCAAUUGGCUCUGUUGUUUGGUUCUUUGGGUUUUAAGUGAUUUAGCCUUCGCAUGGUGGUUUGGAGCCGCCUGACUUCCAUAACCAUGGCCUUCAACUCUCUCAGCUGUGCCAGCUCAGCAGUUCUUCACGACAUUCUCAAUUGAGCUGUCCUUGCUUCGCCAACGAUUUAGGUGAUCAAGAAGUUAUUCAAUGGUAUCAAGAAGUUAUUCAAUGGUUCGCUCCUCUUCCACCUGAAAGAAAAAUAAAUAACUCUAUGAUUUUUUCACGCAGUUGCAUUAGUUUUGAAUUGUUUCAUCAUUCUGCGUAAUUCGUUACGUUAUGUUUAAUUCUUUGCUGUUUGCCGGGGGAGAUGAAUUUCAUAUUGUUAAUUCAUGGUAGCAGAAGGUUUCUUGUUUUCUCAUGUGUUUAUGGUAUUUCGAUAUUUGAAGUAAUUUAUCACUGAACAAUUUGAAGUUCUUACUGUUUAAAUAUGGCCCUUAAUUUGGUCUAUCAAAUAUUGUUUGGUUUCAUGACUCGGAACCAUUUCUAACCAAAUUCAAAGCUCAUUGAUGUUCUUGAAAUGGUUCAAAUAACGGAACAGAACAAAGACCACGUGGAACCCCGUCCAUCAUGAUUUCUUGAAGAAAUGGUAUUACAAAUUCUUGAAGAAAUAGAAUAGGCAGAAAAAGACUUUGAAAAAUAUCAUGGCUAGGGGAAAAUAGAGCCUGCGGUUUUUUAAAAUUUGUCGGUGAAAACUAUGAUAUUUUAAAUAAUUUGUGAAAUAGGCUACAAUAAAUUUCAAACAGGGGAGAGAUUGUGGGUUGCAUCGAAGCUUUAAUGAUAGCUGCUUUGAACAUGAGAAAGGUUAUUUAUUGAAAAGAGUUCUUGAACAUCAAGUAAAGUUAGAGACGAUGGUCGGUGAAAUUCAAACUUGUUUAAAGAUGGUGGAUGUUUAUUUGGCUUUAGGCAGUGUGUGCGGAUCAUUCGGGAUUUUUGUCUCUUCAAGUUAUUUUUUUGAUCCUGAGGUAUGUUUCAAUAUCGUUCUCUUUUUUAAUCUUUUUUUUUUGGAAUUUGUAGCAAUCUAUUUUUAUUAUUUUUCUAAAUAUUGUAAUUUCUAAUUGUGGUUUUUGGAAAUGCAUGGGAAUUGUGAUGUAUUUUUCAAUUUUUUUCGCUUGUAUUAUUUGAAAUGUGCUAUUAUAUAUAUAUAUAUAUAUAUAUAUAAUAGUUUCCAUGAACACAACAUGCUUUAUAAAAACCUUCUUUAUCGAAGGUUACCUUGGCCACCAACUAGUUUACUUUUUAUUUUUUUUAUCUAAAAUUUAAAGGCUGCAACAAUAUUGUCGAAGUGAGUAAAAUCUAAAUUGUUGCGGUAAUUAUGUUGCUGUCAUUAUUGAGUGGUAGUUAUGUUGGUGUUUUUUUUUCCUUGUCAUGCCAUGACAUUUGCUGUAACAGAGAAAUGUGUUGUUAUUUUUAAUAAAUUUUUAAUUGUGCUAUUUUUCCAAAUGCGAUGUGCUAGUUCUAAAACCAUAAGUGUGGGUAGGUUGUUCAAGGGAAAGAAUGUACAUAUGAACAUUGCAAGCAUUAUCUUAUUUUUCUUUUCUUUUAAUUAGUUUUUUUUUUUUUCAACUUUAUUCUUGGAUGGUUUUGAAUUUAUUUUUAUAAUCUGUUUUGUUUGUUUCUAUAACUUGUCUCAACUAAACAUACUAGUAUUUGAUAUGUGAUUGAUACUAGUAUUUAAUAUGUGAUUGAUACAUGAUUUUGCAAGUUUUUGUUUUAUUAUUAUGUAAUUAAGUAAAAUAUAGAUUAAGAAAAUAGAAUUAUUAAAUGACUUAGAGCUUGGGUUUAGAUUCAGCAUUGAAGCGUUUAGGUUAAGCAUUGAAGCUGGAGUUAAUAUUAUUUUGGAAGUUUUUUUUUUUUGAAAAACUAAUUCAUGUUUUUAUUUAACUCAGUAAAUUUUAAACUUGAUAAGUUGACUGAGUUAUGUCGAAAAAAAAAAUAUCAUGAACUUUUUUAAAAACUAAAUCAUAUUUUUUUAUAGUCAUUUGAUUUGUUUUUGGACUCGUCAAGUUGGUUUAGUGUCUUCUAAUUAAAAAUGCUAUUGAAAAUGUUUUAAAAUAAUUUUUUAUUUUUUUUUGGUUUUUUAAUAUUAGCUCAUUAAAAUCAUUGAAAGAUUAAAAAAAUAUUUAAAUUGGUACUUCUAUGAUAAUAUUUAUUCACGCAACAGCAUGCACGAAUGUGCGUAUUACUGGAAAUUGUACAACAAUUGUCAUUGUGUGUGUUAAUGCAGAACCAUUACUUCAUUUUUUUAAACGCUUUGUUUGAUUUAGAGUCAAUUUUAAUGAUGCCUCUUAAUGAAAAGGUUAAAUUUAAGACUUGUGAGGUCGAUCCAGUGUGGUUUAAUGCAGACAAUUUUUUUUAUUACUUGCCUGUCCAGUCUUUUUAUCAAUCUAUAAGGUUCUGUUCUGUCUUAAAAAAAAAUAAAAAAAUCAGGGGUGAUGAUGGACUUUUAGGUACAAUUUUUUUUUUUUUUAAAUAGAGAAUGAUUUCUUAUUGUCCCUUAUUCGAGUCCAUUCUUCUUUGAUGUCCACAAGAUCUAUAAGCUCAAAAUGGAAGAGCGCUCGUUAUCCCAUCAUGGGGUUUUGAGAGGUUGGUGGUUCAAAUCCACUUAGAUUUUAUUAAUUACCUAUUUACUUUAGCUUGAUAUGUUUGGUAGCUUCUGUGCUUUAUUAAUGACGUAGACUGGUUGUUUAACACAGUUAAUGUAAGAAAAGGCUGUUGAAGUGUAUACCUAUUUCAUUUUACUUUGAUAUUUUCUUCAAAGUAGAUCGAAUUCCACCUUCCAAGUUGGACAUUUGGAGGGAGAUACGCACUCCGUUAGUUUUUGGCCGGAUUCAUUCUGUGGAGCACGGGCAUUGCAAGUUCAAAUUGCUCAAGGAUGUCCAUACUAUACACUAAAUGAACUAGCAAUGGGCUUUGGACAACAUAAGGUUCGAGCUGCCCAGGGAUUGAUAUGGGUAUGGUGACAAAGUCAAUGCUUAUGUUUUAUUUUUUAGGUGUAUUAAAAUUUUAGUUUGGUGGACUCGGAGUAGAGUUUGCUAAAGAGAGGCUUAAUUGUUAUUAUAGCCUUUGUUAGUAACUUGAAGUAGUUUAGCCUAAAAUAAGUAAAACUAGGUAAAAGUAAAACUAUUCUUUAAUCACAGUAGUUUUACUUAUUUUUUUAAUGUGUCUUCCUCUUAUCAUGCAAGGAGUACAACACCCUAUCAAUCGACUUAUUUUCUGGCGCUCUA